UGAGGAAUAUUGGUCAAUGGGCGAGAGCCUGAACCAGCCAUGUCGCGUGCAGGAUGACGGCCCUACGGGUUGUAAACUGCUUUUGUACGGGAAGAAAAAACGCCACGUGUGGUGUCUUGCCGGUACCGUACGAAUAAGGAUCGGCUAACUCCGUGCCAGCAGCCGCGGUAAUACGGAGGAUCCGAGCGUUAUCCGGAUUUAUUGGGUUUAAAGGGUGCGUAGGCGGGAGAUUAAGUCAGUGGUGAAAGUUUGCGGCUCAACCGUAAAAUUGCCAUUGAUACUGGUUUUCUUGAGUACAGUUGAGGUAGGCGGAAUGUGGUGUGUAGCGGUGAAAUGCUUAGAUAUACCACAGAACACCGAUUGCGAAGGCAGCUUACUAAAGUGUAACUGACGCUGAUGC
RNAcentral lists this ribosomal RNA (400 nucleotides) under uncultured bacterium. RNAcentral describes it as "bacterial SSU rRNA". It matches the Rfam family "Bacterial small subunit ribosomal RNA", at positions 355 to 752 of the family's 1533-position model. The record is from RNAcentral.